UAAAUUUCUGAAUCCGUCCUUGCAUUAUGAUGAAGAAAGAAAGAAGAGAGCAAAUAGAUGAACAUACAGUAUCAGAGAAGCCAAGCUGCGCUUUCUUCCCGGUGUUUCCCCUGCAAAUAUAAAUCUUGCCGCACUAGCUUUGUUUGCUUAAAACCAGAGGAGCUGAUACAGAUACAAAAUAUGAACUAAUAUCACAAUAUUCAUGCCUUGAUCAUAAUCAUAUACACACAAAUUAAUUGAUACAUACACAUAUACACGUCACAAACUUUUAGGUAGAAGAUGAGAAUGACCGCUAAAUACUUACUAGUUGAUGGGAGUUUCACUCAACUUCACAUGUACAUUACGUGUGAAACUUGUAGCAGCUUUAUAUUGGAUUUUAGCAAAGAGUUUCAUUUAUCCUGUCUGAAUCAUAGGCCACUGAAAUUAUUUCUUAUUUGAAAUUUUGAUAAAUAAUUGAAUCUUCAUUUUGUUUUUUCCCUUGCAUAAUUAUUCACACAUGGGAAAAUAACGUGGCGUUAUUAUAAGAUAUAUUACAGAUCACCUUUGUUCGUUACGGAUAGUGCUCCACUUUAUCUCGAUCAUUUCCCUCAUGAUAUUGACUUGCCAUAAAAAAAU
Molecule: long non-coding RNA, 615 nt
Filed under: Daucus carota (carrot)
Lineage: Eukaryota; Viridiplantae; Streptophyta; Magnoliopsida; Apiales; Apiaceae
Description: long non-coding RNA (DCAR_LNC002463)
Source: RNAcentral